GCGGAUGUAGCUCAGUGGUAGAGCAUCACCUUGCCAAGGUGAGGGUCGCGGGUUCAAGUCCCGUCAUCCGCUCGA
Molecule: transfer RNA, 75 nt
Filed under: Promicromonospora umidemergens
Lineage: Bacteria; Bacillati; Actinomycetota; Actinomycetes; Micrococcales; Promicromonosporaceae
Also listed under: 1 other name
Description: tRNA-Gly
Rfam family: tRNA
About the family: Transfer RNA (tRNA) molecules are approximately 80 nucleotides in length. Their secondary structure includes four short double-helical elements and three loops (D, anti-codon, and T loops). Further hydrogen bonds mediate the characteristic L-shaped molecular structure. tRNAs have two regions of fundamental functional importance: the anti-codon, which is responsible for specific mRNA codon recognition, and the 3' end, to which the tRNAs corresponding amino acid is attached (by aminoacyl-tRNA synthetases). tRNAs cope with the degeneracy of the genetic code in two manners: having more than one tRNA (with a specific anti-codon) for a particular amino acid; and 'wobble' base-pairing, i.e. permitting non-standard base-pairing at the 3rd anti-codon position.
Source: RNAcentral